GACGAACGCUGGCGGCGUGCUUAACACAUGCAAGUCGAACGGAAAGACGCUGCUUUUGUGGGGCGCUCGAGUGGCGAACGGGUGAGUAACACGUGAGUAACCUGCCCUUGACUAUGAGAUAACUUCAGGAAACUGAGGAUCACAUCGGAUAUGAGCUCCUGCUGCGUGGGGGGGGAUGGAAAGUUUCGGUCGUGUGGGCUGGACUGGCGGCUUAUCAGCUGCUUGGUGGGGUAGUGGAAUACCAAGGCUUUGACGGGUAGCCGGCCUGAGAGGGUGACCGGGCCCAAUGGGACUGCGAUAGGGAGCAGACGGCUACGGGAGGCAGUGGUGGGGAGUAUUGCACAGCGGGGCGAAGUCUGAGGAGGCGACGUCGGGUGCGGGAUGACGGCUUUCGGGUUGUAAACCGCUUUCGCCUGUGACGAAGCGUGAGUGACGGUACCGGGUAAAGAAGCACCGGCUAACUACGUG
RNAcentral lists this ribosomal RNA (468 nucleotides) under uncultured bacterium. Its description in RNAcentral is "partial 16S ribosomal RNA". It matches the Rfam family "Bacterial small subunit ribosomal RNA", at positions 28 to 507 of the family's 1533-position model. The record is from RNAcentral.